Numida meleagris (helmeted guineafowl) is the source of this 2861-nucleotide RNA transcript. It is a transcript of the gene named small ArfGAP 1, with no coding region annotated. The record is from RefSeq and is a predicted model, not a curated record. NCBI's taxonomy places the organism in Eukaryota, Metazoa, Chordata, Aves, Galliformes, Numididae. The transcript is spliced from 11 exons.
CGCAAGUAGUUCCGGUCGAGGAAGUGGGUGCUGGCGGCAGCCGGUUCCGCGCCAGGGCAGCAGCGCCGCGACUCCGGCGGUGCCCGGCCCAGCCUCGAGCCGCCGCCGCCUCGCCCGCGGGGAGUAGCCCGCCGCCAUGGCCACCCGCUCGUGCCGCGAGAAGGCGCAGAAACAGAACGAGCAGCACCAGGCCAUCCUGGCCAAGCUGCUGCGCGAGGAGGACAACAAGUACUGCGCCGACUGCGAGGCCAAGGGUCCACGAUGGGCUUCGUGGAACACUGGUGUUUUUAUUUGCAUCAGAUGUGCUGGAAUACAUAGAAAUCUUGGAGUCCAUAUAUCAAGGGUCAAAUCUGUCAACUUGGACCAGUGGACACCAGAGCAAAUACAGUGCAUGCAAGAAAUGGGAAAUACUAAAGCAAGACUACUCUAUGAAGCAAAUCUACCAGAGAACUUUCGAAGACCUCAAACAGAUCAAGCUGUGGAAUUUUUCAUUAGGGAUAAGUAUGAAAAGAAGAAGUAUUACGAUAAAAAUGCAGCUAAUGCCUUCAAUAAGGAAAAAGAAAAAAAGAAAGAAGAGAAAAAGAGAGAGAGAGAAGCAGAAAAAACAUCAAAACAAGUAGCAGUUGAAAAGCCACAGAAGAAAGAGGAUCAGCAAUUAGAAGCUAAAGGAAGUCCAAAAAAGUCAUCAGAACCCACUGUUGACCUCUUAGGGCUUGAUGGUCCAGCUGAAACAUCUGUUGCAAAUGGAGGCACUGCUGCUGCCAUCACAGCAUUGAAUGAUGACCUGGAUAUCUUCGGCCCAAUGAUCUCCAAUCCUUUACCAGCAGCUGCUGUACCUCCUGCUCAGAGCGCUUCUGCCAAACCAGCAGCUGCCACCUUGUCUGCAGCAGCCGGAGAUCUCGAUCUGUUCACUGAGCAAACGACAAAAUCAGAAGAGUCGGCAAAGAAACAGCUCUCCAAGGACUCCAUCUUGUCACUGUAUGGCACAGGAACCAUGCAGCAGCAGACUGCACCAGGUAUGUUCAUAGGCUCCUCCUCUAUGCCAUUUACCACACAGCCAUCGACUCAUUUCCAAGGUUUCCCAGCCAUGGGAGUUCCUGUGCCUGCAGCCACCGGGAUGAUGGGAAGCAUGAUGGGACAGUCGGUGCCAGUCAUGGGGCAGAGCACAGGGGUGAUGGUAGGAAUGGGAAUGCCCAAUGGAUUUACUGGUACGACGCAGACUGGUGUGAUGGGACUUCCUCAGAAUGUCGUUGGACCUCAAGGUGGAAUGGUGGGACAAAUGGUUACUCCACAGAAUAAGUAUGGACUGCAACAAAAUCAGCAAGCUCAAUGGAACCUCACCCAGAUGAAUCAGCAGAUGGCUGGAAUGAACCUCAGCAGCUCCAGCAACGCGAUGGGCUUUGGGCAGCCCCCCAGCACAGUGGCGGGAUGGACUGGAAGCGCCUCGGGUCAGACUCUCAGCACACAACUGUGGAAAUGAACGUUGCAAUAGAAGCUUCACCCAGAAGAGCCACCUAACAUUCCUUGUCCAAAUGCAUUUACUUCCGCUGUUCUCUCCAUGUACAUACUUCUUCUUUUUCCCGAGCUGUUCAGAUUAAGAAUAUAACUGACUGACCGUGUUGUGGUCUAUAUUGAUUUAAAUUUGAUGUAGUGAAAAGCAGAUCAAGAACACAUUUAUAUAUCACUGGCAGCGUUUUCAUACAAUGCAUAUGAAUUCAUAGGCCAUGUAUUUAAGAAGCUGCUUAACCACGUACUGUUUUUUUCCCCUCAAAAUUCUAGAUCAAAUGUUUGCAUUUAAGGGACGUAGCUAUCAUGUUAGUAAUAUCCAAAAAUAUAAACCCCGAUCCCCCCCCAAAAUUACCCAGUAAUCCUGUAGAAGGUACUGUAUGAACAAAUAUUUAAUCAUAUAUAAAUAGAAUGUAAAUGUAUCACCGAGCAAUGUUUUCUAGUGUAUCAAACAAAUUUUGUUUCAUCAUACAUUUCACUGUGAUGUUAAAUGGUGUGCAUAACAGGGAAUAUGAUCAUCGAAAGGAAGAUAAACCUGGAUGUUGCUCUAGUUCUACAAGUUUAUUCUUUUAAAAAUGAGCAUUCGAUCCAUUUGAGUUUCCUGUGCUAACGUACCCAAGCGGGCUCACGAGGCAUGUACGCAGUAUUAAUGCUGAGAACUGGUAUGUAUACAAGGUAGCUUGGUGGGAACAGAUCUAUUUUUCCUUGCAGAGAUAUCCAGGUUUAUGACAGUGAUUGUGUUUACAUUUUAUGGUGCCUCAUAAUGAUAAAAUGUUAUUUCCCUAUAUUAAAAGGAUGAAUCCGUAAAUGAUUGUGGCUUUUUAUUUCAUUAUUGUAUAACUAUUCGACAGCUAUUUCUUCAAGUCUGAUUUUAAUGAAGGAAAGCACGUUCCAUUUGGAUCUAUUUAUGCAAAUAUUUAGAUCAACAGUUCAUGAUUUAAAAUCAGUUUAUAAUUAUACCACUAAGCUGGAUAAAUACAAAAACUAUAUACAUACAUGAUGAUUUUGACAAUAUUCCAUUGCAGUCAUGUUUCUCUUGAUUGAUUGUUUUUACUAUGUGGAAACAGCCUUACAGCAAAGAAGUCCACCGGGUGACCAAAGAAUCUCACACCUGAAGGCUGUCGCAGGGGGCCGAACUGGAGCACCUCCCAGCACAUCUGCUGCACUGUGUGACUCAUCUCAGGAUCAUACCUCAAUAUUGACUGUGUCCAGAUGAUAUUUUGGCUCAUUAGCUAGAUUCACCUUUUCUGUUCGCGUGUGCCAUACAAGAACCUGCAAAAUAACCUUUUGUUAGGGCGGUCAUCUACAAAGACCAGCUAGAACCUUUUUAGAAAAUAAAUCAGUACCUUUGUGCA